Molecule: ribosomal RNA, 201 nt
Filed under: Enterobacter pseudoroggenkampii
Lineage: Bacteria; Pseudomonadati; Pseudomonadota; Gammaproteobacteria; Enterobacterales; Enterobacteriaceae
Description: partial 23S ribosomal RNA
Rfam family: Bacterial large subunit ribosomal RNA
Source: RNAcentral
UCAUGCCAAUGGCACUGCCCGGUAGCUAAAUGCGGAAAAGAUAAGUGCUGAAAGCAUCUAAGCACGAAACUUGCCCCGAGAUGAGUUCUCCCUGAGACUUUAAGUCUCCUGAAGGAACGUUGAAGACGACGACGUUGAUAGGUCGGGUGUGUAAGCGCAGCGAUGCGUUGAGCUAACCGAUACUAAUGAACCGUGAGGCUU